AUGGCGACCGAUGCGUCCCGCGCUCUAGGCGAAGACCGCGGCCCCGUCCCCGCGCCUCCACCGCCUUCUUCCAGGAGGAGGGGCCGUGCGGCGCCUGCCCGGGGGCCCUCAGGCCGCAGGCGGGCGCGAGCUUCAGGGAACUUAGGGGGCUCCCGCCUCCCCGGCCACGCGAGCGGGAACAGUCUCCUCCACUCGGAGCGGCGCCAUCUUCAGCUCUGAGUCACCAGGGCUGGAAAAAUACUAGAUGCGCUACUCGUGGACUCGUGAAUACACUCGUGAAUACAGGCCAUUUCCUGUACCUACAGCCACCCGCUAUUAUAGAUCCAGACUCCUGUGCCUGACCACUGCCCAUGGCCAACUCUCUGCUGAUGACUGGACUUGACUACACAAGUUGUUGGCCAUCUUAAAACCACUCAAAGUUGACGGUCUCCUCUCCUGCCUCCUGCGGCUUCCAUUACCAUGGCAGAGACUGUGGUGUCUGAGGUGGUGUAGCGUACUGAAGCAAGGCUGUCUUGAAGAAGAGGAGACAACUCACAAUUCUACCACCUUUGUUGACCUCUUCUUCCCCCCAACUUAUUGCUGUAGAGGCUACCUGAGCUCAUUGUCCCUGGAGAUGGACCAAAUAGAAGAAUAAGCAGUGCCUGUGUGGUGAGCUUCAAGAGGCAUCUGUUCUCUGGGGAGUGGGUGGGUGGUAAAGCAAAGACGGGAGAUGUGUAUAUUAGCUAUCCAUUACUGUAUAAUUAAUUAUACACAAAACUAAACUAUACACUAAACUAAAACUUCACAGCUUAAAACAGGAAAUAUGUAUUAUCUCACACAAUUUCUGAGAGUCAGGAAUCUGAAAAUGGCUUAGCUAGUUUGGUUCUGGCUCAGGGUGACCUAUGGAGUUGCAGCCAAGAUGUCAUCUGGGACUACUAUCAUUGGAAGGCUCAGCUGGGGCUGGAGGCUACACUUCCAAGAUGGCUCACUUAUAGGGCUAUUGGUGGGAGGCUUCAGUUCCUCUCCACAUGAAACUUUCCUCAUGCCAUGGAACUGGCUUCCCUCAGAGUGAAAGACCCAAGAGAGAGACUAAGACAGAAGCUGCAAUGUUUUUAUGACCUAGUCUUGGAAGUGACUUACUGUCAUUUCUACUGUAUUUUAUUCAUUAGAAGCAAGUCAUUAAGUCCAGCCCACAUUCAAAGUAAGAGGAUUUAAGCUGAACCUCUUGAAAAAAUGGUAUCAAAGUAUUUACGGACAUUUUAAAAACUACCACAAUACAUAUAGGUGAACUUCACAAGGUGUAGACAUGGGCUGAGACAGAAUAUUGGAUAAUAUCUCAUUCUGCAAACAGCAGCCUCAUCUGUAAUAAAAUCCCAGCAUUCAGAAAUUAUCACGAUCAAGUAGGAAAAGGGCUUGUUGGAAAAAACUUAUCAAAGAUGUUACUUCAUUUAUCCAUUUAUUCUGAGCCAUAGCAUAAUAGCGACAAAUUGUGUGUCCUGUGUAAUUUGGAUACCUCUGCUCAAUAAUAGCUGAACAGAUUUUAUCCUAUUUUUAGAAUAGUUAAUAUAUACACAUGGCACAAAAUUUAAAAGGUAUAAAAGUUUCUGGUUCAAAAAUAAGAUUCCCUCAUUUUCUUUUUUUCUGAUUCUUUGAAUGCAAUUCGAUUUACUGAUUUCUCAUGUAGCCUUAGAAAGUAUUCUAUGUACUUACAAACAUAUAUGUACACAUAUUUUUUCUUUCCCACAAAUAAAAUACUGUAUGCAUUGUUUUA
This 1750-nucleotide long non-coding RNA is filed under the name Homo sapiens (human). RNAcentral describes it as "AHI1 divergent transcript, transcript variant 4 (AHI1-DT)". The record is from RNAcentral. Lineage: Eukaryota; Metazoa; Chordata; Mammalia; Primates; Hominidae.